RNAcentral lists this ribosomal RNA (426 nucleotides) under uncultured prokaryote. RNAcentral's name for it is "bacterial SSU rRNA". It matches the Rfam family "Bacterial small subunit ribosomal RNA", at positions 355 to 774 of the family's 1533-position model. The record is from RNAcentral.
UGGGGAAUCUUGCGCAAUGGGCGAAAGCCUGACGCAGCAACGCCGCGUGAGCGAAGACGGCCUUCGGGUUGUAAAGCUCUGUCAGGAGGGACGAAGCCACUCAGGUGAAUAGCCGAGAGGGUGACGGUACCUCCAGAGGAAGCCCCGGCUAACUACGUGCCAGCAGCCGCGGUAAUACGUAGGGGGCAAGCGUUGUCCGGAAUCAUUGGGCGUAAAGCGCGUGUAGGCGGCCAUCCAAGUCUGGUGUGAAAGCUCGGGGCUCAACCCCGAGUCUGCACUGGAAACUGGAUGGCUUGAGUCCGGAAGAGGAGAAUGGAAUUCCUGGUGUAGCGGUGAAAUGCGCAGAUAUCAGGAAGAACACCGGUGGCGAAGGCGGUUCUCUGGGACGGUACUGACGCUGAGACGCGAAAGCGUGGGGAGCGAACA